ACGGGGGGUGCAAGCGUUGUUCGGAAUUAUUGGGCGUAAAGCGCGUGUAGGCGGUUUGUUAAGUCUGAUGUGAAAGCCCCGGGCUCAACCUGGGAAGUGCAUUGGAAACUGGCAGACUUGAAUACGGGAGAGGGUAGUGGAAUUCCUGGUGGAGGAGUGAAGUCGGGUGAUAGCUGGAGGCAUAGCAGGGGCGAAGGCGGCGGCCAGGAACGAUAUAGACACUGAUACGCGUAAGUGGGUGAAGGAAGGAG
This 251-nucleotide ribosomal RNA is filed under the name uncultured prokaryote. RNAcentral describes it as "partial 16S rRNA". It matches the Rfam family "Bacterial small subunit ribosomal RNA", at positions 525 to 775 of the family's 1533-position model. The record is from RNAcentral.